UUUAUUGAGAGUUUGAUCCUGGCUCAGGACGAACGCUGGCGGCGUGUCUAAGGCAUGCAAGUCGAACGGUCUGUUGUUCUUCGGAGUAACAGAUAGUGGCAAACGGGAGCGUAACACAUUGGUAACCUACCUCGAGACUGUGAAUAAUUCCGCGAAAGCGGGACUAAUACACAAUAUGGAUGGGGGGUCAUAUGACAUCCCCAUUGAAAGUUCCGACGUCUCGAGAGGGGCCUAUGUCCUAUCAGCUAGUUGGUGUGGUAAAAGCGCACCAAGGCUAUGACGGGUAUCGGGCGUGAGAGCGUGGCCCGACUCACUGGGACUGAGACACUGCCCAGACACCUACGGGUGGCUGCAGUC
This 357-nucleotide ribosomal RNA is filed under the name Candidatus Uhrbacteria bacterium. RNAcentral describes it as "bacterial SSU rRNA". It matches the Rfam family "Bacterial small subunit ribosomal RNA", at positions 1 to 356 of the family's 1533-position model. Lineage: Bacteria; Candidatus Uhriibacteriota. The record is from RNAcentral.